UAAUGCCUAGGAAUCUGCCUGGUAGUGGGGGAUAACGUUCCGAAAGGAACGCUAAUACCGCAUACGUCCUACGGGAGAAAGCAGGGGACCUUCGGGCCUUGCGCUAUCAGAUGAGCCUAGGUCGGAUUAGCUAGUUGGUGAGGUAAUGGCUCACCAAGGCGACGAUCCGUAACUGGUCUGAGAGGAUGAUCAGUCACACUGGAACUGAGACACGGUCCAGACUCCUACGGGAGGCAGCAGUGGGGAAUAUUGGACAAUGGGCGAAAGCCUGAUCCAGCCAUGCCGCGUGUGUGAAGAAGGUCUUCGGAUUGUAAAGCACUUUAAGUUGGGAGGAAGGGCUGUAGGCUAAUAUCCUGCGGUUUUGACGUUACCAACAGAAUAAGCACCGGCUAACUUCGUGCCAGCAGCCGCGGUAAUACGAAGGGUGCAAGCGUUAAUCGGAAUUACUGGGCGUAAAGCGCGCGUAGGUGGUUCGUUAAGUUGGAUGUGAAAGCCCCGGGCUCAACCUGGGAACUGCAUCCAAAACUGGCGAGCUAGAGUACGGUAGAGGGUAGUGGAAUUUCCUGUGUAGCGGUGAAAUGCGUAGAUAUAGGAAGGAACACCAGUGGCGAAGGCGACUACCUGGACUGAUACUGACACUGAGGUGCGAAAGCGUGGGGGAGCAAACAGGAUUAGAUACCCUGGUAGUCCACGCCGUAAACGAUGUCAACUAGCCGUUGGAAUCCUUGAGAUUUUAGUGGCGCAGCUAACGCAUUAAGUUGACCGCCUGGGGGAGUACGGCCGCAAGGUUAAAAACUCAAAUGAAUUGACGGGGGGGCCCGCACAAG
Molecule: ribosomal RNA, 827 nt
Filed under: Ectopseudomonas oleovorans
Lineage: Bacteria; Pseudomonadati; Pseudomonadota; Gammaproteobacteria; Pseudomonadales; Pseudomonadaceae
Description: bacterial SSU rRNA
Rfam family: Bacterial small subunit ribosomal RNA
Source: RNAcentral